This 442-nucleotide ribosomal RNA is filed under the name uncultured bacterium. Its description in RNAcentral is "partial 16S ribosomal RNA". It matches the Rfam family "Bacterial small subunit ribosomal RNA", at positions 338 to 795 of the family's 1533-position model. The record is from RNAcentral.
CCUACGGGAGGCUGCAGUGGGGAAUAUUGGGCAAUGGACGCACGUCUGACCCAGCAACGCCGCGUGAAGGAAGAAUGCUUUCGGGUUGUAAACUUCUUUUAAGGGGGAAGAGCAGAAGACGGUACCCCUUGAAUAAGCCACGGCUAACUACGUGCCAGCAGCCGCGGUAAUACGGAGGUGGCAAGCUUUGUCCGGAUUUACUGGGGGUAAAGGGCGUGCAGCCGGGGAGACAAGUCAGAUGUGAAAUCCACGGGCUCAACCCGUGAACUGCAUUUGAAACUGUUUCCCUUGAGUGUCGGAGAGGUAAGCGGAAUGCCUGGUGUAGCGGUGAAAUGCGUAGAUAUAAGGAAGAACACCAGUGGCGAAGGCGGAUUACUGGACGAUAACUGACGGUGAGGCGCGAAAGCGUGGGGAGCAAACAGGAUUAGAUACCCCUGUAGUC